UAGGGAAUCUUCCGCAAUGGACGAAAGUCUGACGGAGCAACGCCGCGUGAGUGAUGAAGGGUUUCGGCUCGUAAAACUCUGUUGUUAAGGAAGAACACUUUAGGUAGUAACUGGCCUUGAGAUGACGGUACUUAACCAGAAAGCCACGGCUAACUACGUGCCAGCAGCCGCGGUAAUACGUAGGUGGCAAGCGUUAUCCGGAAUUAUUGGGCGUAAAGCGCGCGUAGGCGGUAAAAUAAGUCUGAUGUGAAAGCCCCCGGCUCAACCGGGGAGGGUCAUUGGAAACUGUUUUACUUGAGUGCAGAAGAGGAGAGUGGAAUUCCAUGUGUAGCGGUGAAAUGCGCAGAGAUAUGGAGGAACACCAGUGGCGAGGGCGGCUCUCAGGUCUGUAGCUGACGCUGAGGUGCGAAAGCGUGGGGAUCAAACAGG
RNAcentral lists this ribosomal RNA (429 nucleotides) under Bacillota bacterium. RNAcentral's name for it is "Firmicutes bacterium partial 16S ribosomal RNA". It matches the Rfam family "Bacterial small subunit ribosomal RNA", at positions 355 to 776 of the family's 1533-position model. The record is from RNAcentral. Lineage: Bacteria; Bacillati; Bacillota.